CGCCUAAACCCGUACAUAAUA
Molecule: non-coding RNA, 21 nt
Filed under: Caenorhabditis elegans
Lineage: Eukaryota; Metazoa; Nematoda; Chromadorea; Rhabditida; Rhabditidae
Source: RNAcentral